Acanthosepion pharaonis is the source of this 112-nucleotide non-coding RNA. The record is from the annotation of a GenBank genome assembly. Lineage: Eukaryota; Metazoa; Mollusca; Cephalopoda; Sepiida; Sepiidae.
UACGGCCACGUCAAGUUGAAACAGCACUUCCCACACGAUCACCAAGGUUAAGCAAUGUUGAGCCUGGUCAGUAGCUAGAUGGGUGACCGCUUGGGAAUACUAAGUGCUGUAA